RNAcentral lists this ribosomal RNA (253 nucleotides) under uncultured bacterium. RNAcentral's name for it is "partial 16S ribosomal RNA". It matches the Rfam family "Bacterial small subunit ribosomal RNA", at positions 524 to 776 of the family's 1533-position model. The record is from RNAcentral.
UACAGAGGUCCCAAGCGUUGUUCGGAUUCACUGGGCGUAAAGGGUGCGUAGGCGGUCGGGUAAGUCUGACGUGAAAUCUUCAAGCUCAACUUGGAAACUGCGUCCGAUACUAUUCGGCUAGAGGAAUGGAGGGGAGACUGGAAUACUUGGUGUAGCAGUGAAAUGCGUAGAUAUCAAGUGGAACACCGGUGGCGAAGGCGGCGACCUGGGUCGAUACUGACGCUGAUGCGCGAAAGCGUGGGGAGCAAACAGG